CGGGACGGGUGAGUAACGCGUGGGUAACCUGCCUUAUACAGGGGGAGUAACAGUUAGAAAUGACUGCUAAUACCGCAUAAGCGCACAGGAUUGCAUGAUCUGGUGUGAAAAACUACCGGUGGUAUAAGAUGGACCCGCGUCUGAUUAGCUUGUUGGUGAGGUAACGGCCCACCAAGGCGACGAUCAGUAGCCGACCUGAGAGGGUGACCGGCCACAUUGGGACUGAGACACGGCCCAAACUCCUACGGGAGGCAGCAUG
Molecule: ribosomal RNA, 259 nt
Filed under: uncultured bacterium
Lineage: Bacteria
Description: partial 16S ribosomal RNA
Rfam family: Bacterial small subunit ribosomal RNA
Source: RNAcentral